This 435-nucleotide unclassified non-coding RNA is filed under the name Hevea brasiliensis (rubber tree). The record is from RNAcentral. Lineage: Eukaryota; Viridiplantae; Streptophyta; Magnoliopsida; Malpighiales; Euphorbiaceae.
UGAGGUCACCAUAAAGCUUCUUCAACGAGCAAUAGAGGAAAGUGGCAAUGAAAAAUUUCUUAUUGAUGGGUUCCCUCGUAAUGAGGAAAAUCGUGCUGCAUUUGAAGCUGUUACAGGCAUUGAACCAUCUGUUGUCCUGUUCUUUGAUUGUCCCGAGGAAGAGAUGGAGAGGCGGCUGUUAAGUAGGAAUGAGGGAAGAGUGGACGACAACAUUGAAACAAUUCGGAAGCGAUUUACGGUUUUCUUGGAGUCUAGUAUUCCUGUGGUUGAAUACUAUGAAUCCAAAGGGAAAGUUCGGAAGAUUGAUGCUGCGAGGCCUGUUGGGGAGGUGUUUGAAUCCGUUAAAGCCGUAUUUACUCCAAAAAGUGAAAAGGCUGACUGAAGAUAACUGCUCAGUAGUUUUGCAUUGUUAUCUUCUUUGAGGUAUUGAUAUUG